AGUGAACGCUGGCGGUAGGCCUAACACAUGCAAGUCGAACGGCAGCACAGUAAGAGCUUGCUCUUACGGGUGGCGAGUGGCGGACGGGUGAGGAAUACAUCGGAAUCUACUUUUUCGUGGGGGAUAACGUAGGGAAACUUACGCUAAUACCGCAUACGACCUACGGGUGAAAGCAGGGGAUCUUCGGACCUUGCGCGAUUGAAUGAGCCGAUGUCGGAUUAGCUAGUUGGCGGGGUAAAGGCCCGCCAAGGCGACGAUCCGUAGCUGGUCUGAGAGGAUGAUCAGCCACACUGGAACUGAGACACGGUCCAGACUCCUACGGGAGGCAGCAGUGGGGAAUAUUGGACAAUGGGCGCAAGCCUGAUCCAGCCAUACCGCGUGGGUGAAGAAGGCCUUCGGGUUGUAAAGCCCUUUUGUUGGGAAAGAAAAGCAGCAGGUUAAUACCCCGCUGUUCUGACGGUACCCAAAGAAUAAGCACCGGCCAACUUCGUG
Molecule: ribosomal RNA, 492 nt
Filed under: uncultured bacterium
Lineage: Bacteria
Description: partial 16S ribosomal RNA
Rfam family: Bacterial small subunit ribosomal RNA
Source: RNAcentral